This is a long non-coding RNA of Pseudopipra pipra, 157 nucleotides long. RefSeq lists it as uncharacterized. The transcript has 2 exons. Lineage: Eukaryota; Metazoa; Chordata; Aves; Passeriformes; Pipridae. The record is from RefSeq and is a predicted model, not a curated record.
AAAAAAUAUAUUAACCAUGGAAACCGGUGUUUAUGUUCUGCUACACCUUUGCGCUUCCCAACAUAUGAACCUGUUGAAGAAGACAUGAUAAUGAAUCUGCUGGAGGUACAUGAAGCCUAUUAUUAUUCUACCCAAAUAAUAAAGAUAAUUAAAUUUA